This is a long non-coding RNA of Salvia miltiorrhiza (redroot sage), 281 nucleotides long. RefSeq lists it as uncharacterized. The record is from RefSeq and is a predicted model, not a curated record. The transcript is spliced from 4 exons. NCBI's taxonomy places the organism in Eukaryota, Viridiplantae, Streptophyta, Magnoliopsida, Lamiales, Lamiaceae.
GUGAAUUCAUAUGUGUGAGCUCAUCCACCGCUGCGAUAACAAUAAUGCGGUCUCUCUGAAUGAUUUCUCAGCUUCAUCACAAGAUGGAUUUAUUCAGGAAAGCAAUUCUGAAUCCAGGGCCGCCUGAAGAUUUCGCGCUCCAGACUGUGCAGCAAGUUAUAAAACCCCAGAAGCAGGUGAAACUCGUUCAAGAUGAAAAUAUGUUGUUGGAAAAUAUUCUGCGGACUUUGCUUCAAGAAUUGGUGUCAGCUGCAGUUCAGUCAGGUGAGGCAACUAUGCAU